GUGCGCCAUUUUAAUUAAUUUAAUAAUUUAAUUAAUUUAAAAUUUUAAUAAUACAUUUUUAAAUAAUAAUAUUUUAUUGGCAAAAAAAUGUUUUACUAGUAAUGUUGUUCUUAGGACUGCGAAAACUAACCCCACAGAACUUCCAAAACUGAACCACAAUAUUUAGUUUUCAGUUAAACUUUAAUUAAUAAUUCAAUUCACACAUUUUAAAAAAAAUUGGUUAUCGAUUCAGAUCAGUGAUCAGUUAUUUUGAUUUUAUUUUUAAUUUUCUUAGAAUUUUAUUAAUUAAAUAAUUUGAACUUAUACCAUACUAAACCAAAAUCAUAUCCAAAUAUUGAACCAAUUUAAUCGAAAUAUCUGAACUAACCAAAGUACCAAACCUGAUAAAAAUGACCCAAAAUUUUAACUAAAACCUAAAAUCUGACCAAAAUAAAAAAACUUCAGUUUAGUUUGGUAGAAAAAUUGAAAACAAAACUAAAUAAUUACCAAAUUGAAUUAAUCUUUUAUUCAG
This 511-nucleotide long non-coding RNA is filed under the name Brassica napus (rape). RNAcentral's name for it is "long non-coding RNA (BNAP_LNC008345)". Lineage: Eukaryota; Viridiplantae; Streptophyta; Magnoliopsida; Brassicales; Brassicaceae. The record is from RNAcentral.